This 253-nucleotide ribosomal RNA is filed under the name uncultured bacterium. RNAcentral's name for it is "partial 16S ribosomal RNA". It matches the Rfam family "Bacterial small subunit ribosomal RNA", at positions 524 to 776 of the family's 1533-position model. The record is from RNAcentral.
UACGUAGGGGGCAAGCGUUGUCCGGAGUUACUGGGCGUAAAGCGCACGCAGGCGGUCUCUUAAGUUUGGAGUGACAGUUGGUGGCUUAACUGCCAAAGUGCUUCGAAAACUGAGAGACUUGAGGGCUGCAGAGGGACACGGAAUUCCGGGUGGAGUGGUGAAAUGCGUAGAGAUCCGGAGGAACACCAAAGGCGAAGGCAGUGUCCUGGGGAGUAACUGACGCUCAGGUGCGAAAGCGAGGGGAGCGAACAGG